Molecule: ribosomal RNA, 399 nt
Filed under: uncultured bacterium
Lineage: Bacteria
Description: bacterial SSU rRNA
Rfam family: Bacterial small subunit ribosomal RNA
Source: RNAcentral
UAUUGGACAAUGGGCGGAAGCCUGAUCCAGCAACGCCGCGUGAGGGAUGACGGCCUUCGGGUUGUAAACCUCUUUCACCACCGACGAAGCGCAAGUGACGGUAGGUGGGGAAGAAGCACCGGCCAACUACGUGCCAGCAGCCGCGGUAAUACGUAGGGUGCGAGCGUUGUCCGGAAUUAUUGGGCGUAAAGGGCUCGUAGGCGGUUUGUCGCGUCGGGAGUGAAAACCUCGGGCUUAACUCGGGGCUUGCUUUCGAUACGGGCAGACUGGAGGUAUGCAGGGGAGAACGGAAUUCCUGGUGUAGCGGUGAAAUGCGCAGAUAUCAGGAGGAACACCGGUGGCGAAGGCGGUUCUCUGGGCAUGACCUGACGCUGAGGAGCGAAAGUGUGGGGAGCGAAC